UACAGAGGCCUCAAGCGUUGUUCGGAAUUAUUGGGCGUAAAGCGGGUGUAGGUGGCUUAGUAAGUCAGAUGUGAAAGCCCUGGGCUUAACCCAGGAUGUGCGUCUGAUACUGCUGAGCUCGAGUGUGGAAGAGGAAAGUGGAAUUCCUGGUGUAGGGGUGAAAUCCGUAGAUAUCAGGAGGAAUACCAACGGCGAAGGCAACUUUCUGGUCCACAACUGACACUCAGACCCGAAAGCGUGGGGAUCAAACAGG
This 253-nucleotide ribosomal RNA is filed under the name uncultured bacterium. RNAcentral's name for it is "partial 16S ribosomal RNA". It matches the Rfam family "Bacterial small subunit ribosomal RNA", at positions 524 to 776 of the family's 1533-position model. The record is from RNAcentral.